Molecule: long non-coding RNA, 599 nt
Filed under: Musa acuminata (dwarf banana)
Lineage: Eukaryota; Viridiplantae; Streptophyta; Magnoliopsida; Zingiberales; Musaceae
Description: long non-coding RNA (MACU_LNC005164)
Source: RNAcentral
GCACGAGCGCGAGCCGUUGACGAAGCCGAAGCAGGACCGGUACGCUCUGCGGACGUCGCCGCAAUGGCUCGGGCCGCAAAUAGAGGUGAUCCGCACGGCGACGCACUCGAUCGAGCGGGAAAUCAACUCAGUCAACGAUAACCCCCUCAUCGACGUCGCCCGCGACAUCGCUCUCCACGGCGGCAAUUUCCAGGGGACACCCAUCGGCGUUUCCAUGGACAACCUCCGCGUCGCGCUGGCGGCCAUCGGGAAGCUGGUCUUCGCGCAAUUCUCCGAGCUCGUCUGCGACUACUACAACGACGGCCUACCGUCCAAUCUGAGCGCCGGCGCCGACCCCAGUCUCGACUACGGCCUAAAGGGAGCCGAGAUCGCCAUGGCCGCCUACUGCUCGGAGCUCCAGUACUUGGCCAACCCGGUGACGACCCACGUCCAGAGCGCCGAGCAGCACAACCAGGACAUCAACUCCUUGGGCCUAAUCUCGGCGCGUAAGAGCGCCGAGGCUGUGGAGAUCCUGAAGCUGAUGAUGGCCACCUACAUGAUCGCUCUGUGCCAAGCAAUCGACCUGAGACAUCUGGAAGAGAACCUGAGAGAGGUCGUGA